This 465-nucleotide ribosomal RNA is filed under the name Vreelandella stevensii. RNAcentral describes it as "partial 16S ribosomal RNA". It matches the Rfam family "Bacterial small subunit ribosomal RNA", at positions 338 to 795 of the family's 1533-position model. The record is from RNAcentral. Lineage: Bacteria; Pseudomonadati; Pseudomonadota; Gammaproteobacteria; Oceanospirillales; Halomonadaceae.
CCUACGGGAGGCAGCAGUGGGGAAUAUUGGACAAUGGGGGGAACCCUGAUCCAGCCAUGCCGCGUGUGUGAAGAAGGCCCUCGGGUUGUAAAGCACUUUCAGUGAGGAAGAACGCCUGGUGGUGAAUACCCAUCAGGAAAGACAUCACUCACAGAAGAAGCACCGGCUAACUCCGUGCCAGCAGCCGCGGUAAUACGGAGGGUGCGAGCGUUAAUCGGAAUUACUGGGCGUAAAGCGCGCGUAGGUGGCUUGAUAAGCCGGUUGUGAAAGCCCCGGGCUCAACCUGGGAACGGCAUCCGGAACUGUCAAGCUAGAGUGCAGGAGAGGAAGGUAGAAUUCCCGGUGUAGCGGUGAAAUGCGUAGAGAUCGGGAGGAAUACCAGUGGCGAAGGCGGCCUUCUGGACUGACACUGACACUGAGGUGCGAAAGCGUGGGUAGCAAACAGGAUUAGAUACCCUAGUAGUC